RNAcentral lists this ribosomal RNA (689 nucleotides) under Brevundimonas mediterranea. Its description in RNAcentral is "bacterial SSU rRNA". It matches the Rfam family "Bacterial small subunit ribosomal RNA", at positions 103 to 827 of the family's 1533-position model. The record is from RNAcentral. Lineage: Bacteria; Pseudomonadati; Pseudomonadota; Alphaproteobacteria; Caulobacterales; Caulobacteraceae.
CGGGUGAGUAACACGUGGGAACGUGCCUUUAGGUUCGGAAUAACUCAGGGAAACUUGUGCUAAUACCGAAUGUGCCCUUCGGGGGAAAGAUUUAUCGCCUUUAGAGCGGCCCGCGUCUGAUUAGCUAGUUGGUGAGGUAAAGGCUCACCAAGGCGACGAUCAGUAGCUGGUCUGAGAGGAUGAUCAGCCACAUUGGGACUGAGACACGGCCCAAACUCCUACGGGAGGCAGCAGUGGGGAAUCUUGCGCAAUGGGCGAAAGCCUGACGCAGCCAUGCCGCGUGAAUGAUGAAGGUCUUAGGAUUGUAAAAUUCUUUCAGUAGGGACGAUAAUGACGGUACCUACAGAAGAAGCCCCGGCUAACUUCGUGCCAGCAGCCGCGGUAAUACGAAGGGGGCUAGCGUUGCUCGGAAUUACUGGGCGUAAAGGGAGCGUAGGCGGACAUUUAAGUCAGGGGUGAAAUCCCGGGGCUCAACCUCGGAAUUGCCUUUGAUACUGGGUGUCUUGAGUAUGAGAGAGGUAUGUGGAACUCCGAGUGUAGAGGUGAAAUUCGUAGAUAUUCGGAAGAACACCAGUGGCGAAGGCGACAUACUGGCUCAUUACUGACGCUGAGGCUCGAAAGCGUGGGGAGCAAACAGGAUUAGAUACCCUGGUAGUCCACGCCGUAAACGAUGAUUGCUAGUUGUCGGG